Molecule: non-coding RNA, 1410 nt
Organism: Nicotiana tabacum (common tobacco)
Lineage: Eukaryota; Viridiplantae; Streptophyta; Magnoliopsida; Solanales; Solanaceae
Source: RefSeq, a predicted model, not a curated record
AAUUCCAAAACUCAGAAGCGACGCUAUACACUGUUCUUCUUCACCCAAAAUCAUUCCCAAACUCGCCAAAAUUCAGGCGAGUGAACCCAAACUCACAUCACGCGCUUCCCCCCUUCUAUCCUUUUGCCACAUAGUGUAACAGUCUCUGACAACAACAAGAUUCCCUCCCUCACUUGCCCGUUUUCAAGCUAAAUCACGCGGUUAGAAGGCUCGAAAAGACGUGUGUUGGAUGUGUGAGAGCCGUCAGAUCGAUUUCAUUCAAUCCAAACCUCACAUUCAUCAUGUGCUCGUUUUCAAAGGGGCCUUAUCCGAUUUCUUGAAGAGGGAGUAAGAAUCUGGAGGUUAGGGAUAUAAGGAAGCAUUUUCGGAUAAAAAAGGGGAUUCUUUUCAGAAAAGGUUUUUUUUAGAAAUUUAGGAAAGGAAAAAUUCUAGGGUUCUUGGAGUUUCCUUUUUUUUCUUCAAUUUUCGUUGGGAUUUUUAGAAAAAACAAAGAGCAAAAAAUAUAGUCCGAGUUUCAUUUCUUUGAGUUUUACUUCAUUUCAAGAAAAAAUCAAAAAAAAAUCACUAAGACAUAAUUUUCAUAUUUUUUUCUCUUAAUUUCUUGUUCUAAAAAAUGGAGCUUGAUUGAAGUUGAGUUGGAGUUUGCAUUUAAGCUCUAAAUCCUGCUGCUAUUUCAAAUUUCUGUCCGAGCUUCUGAUUUCUACUCAAUUUUGUUGCUGGUUGUGCUGAUAUUAGCUAUUGGAUUUCACUUGUAAUUAGUGUUUAAGCAAAAUUAAUCAAGGCGUUUGCUGAUUCAGGGCAAUAAUAAGUAAUGUGAUCGUCUAAUGUUGAAAGAGGAUUCCAUGUAAGUUGUAAUAAAUUAGUCAGUUAGUCCCAUGUAGAAGCUUAAACUUAAUAGGUCUAACCAACAAACUGAGGGUUGGUUUGUAAAGGGACUUACUAAGUUCAAUGUUUGGAUUUGCUAAGUUCAGUAGUGGGUUUUGCUCAAUUUACAGUCAUUUUGUUAAGGAGUUGGAAUGCAUUUUGAGUUGAUCAUUAGCGGUUUGAUAAAUUUGUGGAAUGCAUUUUGCCUGGAUUGUUAGGAGGCCAGUAAUGUUAAGGUCCUAACUUCUGUGCAAUUGCGAGUUUUUUUACUUACUACUCGCGUUGGUGGUAUUGGCUGUUUUCUUUUAUCAUUGAAUACGGGCUUUCUAUUUUGAUCUGUUUAAAGGGAAUAAAUGUCAACCGUGCAAUGUGUCAAAUCCACGGUAUUGGCUUUACAUUUAGUGACCAAGUCUAUUUUUUCUUAAAGAUUGUGGUGUGGAUAAUAUGGCAAAAAAUGUGGGUUUCUACGGUGAUGUAUUGUAAUUAUUUUGUUUGAGACAUAAGUUGAAGACAAUCAUCCUCGAUAUUAACAUUCUUUUCCUGCUA